RNAcentral lists this long non-coding RNA (607 nucleotides) under Anas platyrhynchos platyrhynchos (common mallard). RNAcentral's name for it is "lncRNA (ENSAPLG00000026372.1)". Lineage: Eukaryota; Metazoa; Chordata; Aves; Anseriformes; Anatidae. The record is from RNAcentral.
CAGAGUCAGGGCAUAAUAAAACACAGCUUUCUCUUAGGUGUCUCCUGGCUGCAGAUAACUUAUCCUGGAUACAGCUUUGUCAUCCAGCCAUCCACAAGGGAAUUCUGUGGAAGUGUGUAUGCAUGGAAAGCAUGUGCUUUCUCACACAGUAGAGAAUUUCCUGUAAAUGGACUGGGAAGCCACCUUCUCCUGUGCAGGAAAAGGAAAGGAGCUGACAGACUCAACACAACAAGCUUCUCUGACCAGCAACAGCAUGGGAGGACUAAAAACCCAGGUAAGUCCGUGACAAUAUAACAGGUACAAUUGCAUUGGCAGGUCAUCUACAGCAUUUGAUCUACACUUGUGCGUGGUCAGAUGCCUGCUUACAAACACCAUCAACUAGAUUUAGAAAUAGCUUUUGAGUGUCCAUCUGGAUUGGCAGGGGGCAUGUUACUAAAUAGACAUAAGUAUUGAACUCUCUAUCUGAAAGAGUUAAAAAUGUUUGCACAUCUUGAAAGUACAGCCAAUAUUAUAAUGAAUUACCUACAUCUUCAGUGUCCACUUUGUCCUCACUGUUCUUCUUUAAAAUCUGGAGCUCUGUUUCUCAAAGUGCUGAAGCAGAUACUUG